CACGUAGUUAGCCGGUGCUUUUUCUGCAGGUACCGUCACUUUCGCUUCUUCCCUGCUAAAAGAGGUUUACGACCCGAAGGCCUUCGUCCCUCACGCGGCGUUGCUGCAUCAGGCUUUCGCCCAUUGUGCAAUAUUCCCCACUGCUGCCUCCCGUAGGAGUCUGGGCCGUGUCUCAGUCCCAGUGUGGCCAGUCACCCUCUCAGGCCGGCUACCCGUCGUAGGCUUGGUGAGCCGUUACCUCACCAACUACCUGAUAGGCCGCGAGCUCAUCCCUGACCGAAGUUCUUUCCAGCUGCUGAAGAUGCCUUCUCAGCUCGUAUCCGGUAUUAGACGUCGUUUCCAACGCUUAUCCCAGAGUCAGGGGCAGAUUGCUCACGUGUUACUCACCCGUUCGCCACUAAUCCAGAGGAGCAAGCUCCUCCUUCAUCGUUCGACUUGCAUGUGUUAAGCACGCCGCCAGCGUUCAUCCUGAGCCAGGAUCAAACUCU
This 488-nucleotide ribosomal RNA is filed under the name uncultured Agrococcus sp. Its description in RNAcentral is "partial 16S ribosomal RNA". Lineage: Bacteria; Bacillati; Actinomycetota; Actinomycetes; Micrococcales; Microbacteriaceae. The record is from RNAcentral.